Molecule: ribosomal RNA, 425 nt
Filed under: uncultured bacterium
Lineage: Bacteria
Description: partial 16S ribosomal RNA
Rfam family: Bacterial small subunit ribosomal RNA
Source: RNAcentral
GUGGGGAAUCUUGCGCAAUGGGCGAAAGCCUGACGCAGCCAUGCCGCGUGAAUGAUGAAGGUCUUAGGAUUGUAAAAUUCUUUCACCGGGGACGAUAAUGACGGUACCCGGAGAAGAAGCUCCGGCUAACUUCGUGCCAGCAGCCGCGGUAAUACGAAGGGGGCUAGCGUUGCUCGGAAUUACUGGGCGUAAAGGGCGCGUAGGCGGACAGCUUAGUCAGAGGUGAAAGCCCAGGGCUCAACCUUGGAAUUGCCUUUGAUACUGGCUGUCUUGAGUUUGGGAGAGGUGAGUGGAACUCCGAGUGUAGAGGUGAAAUUCGUAGAUAUUCGGAAGAACACCAGUGGCGAAGGCGACUCACUGGCCCAAUACUGACGCUGGGGCGCGAAAGCGUGGGGAGCAAACAGGAUUAGAAACCCCGGUAGUCC